CCCCCCCCCACCACACCCGGAUUAAGAUGCUUGUAUAUUUGAAAUGUUUUCACGCAUAGAUAGAUAGAUAUUUCUACUAUCAGUAGGACAUUAUUAAUAUUUAUAUGUAUAUAAGGUUUCUGAUUUUGUUUUUCUAUUUUGUAGGCUGUCGUGUACUACGCAGCGGUGUUGCCGAUAUCAUGACAUCGGGACUCAAUAUUUUGUUUUAAUAAAAUUUAACAGUAAGCUGCACAUGCUGGCGAGCUAUUCCUAUGUAACAAGUGUUUGUUUUUAUUUUAUAAAUACUUUAUAUGCGUUUGAGGUGACGAAUUAGAAUAUAAUUAUUAACGUAUACAAUGUA
RNAcentral lists this long non-coding RNA (340 nucleotides) under Mytilus galloprovincialis (Mediterranean mussel). The record is from RNAcentral. Lineage: Eukaryota; Metazoa; Mollusca; Bivalvia; Mytilida; Mytilidae.